AGGGAUAUAGCUCAGUUGGUAGAGUGCUUGCCUUGCAUGCACAAGGUUCUGGGUUCAAUCCCCAGUACCACAA
Molecule: transfer RNA, 73 nt
Filed under: Ictidomys tridecemlineatus (thirteen-lined ground squirrel)
Lineage: Eukaryota; Metazoa; Chordata; Mammalia; Rodentia; Sciuridae
Description: Spermophilus tridecemlineatus (thirteen-lined ground squirrel) tRNA
Rfam family: tRNA
About the family: Transfer RNA (tRNA) molecules are approximately 80 nucleotides in length. Their secondary structure includes four short double-helical elements and three loops (D, anti-codon, and T loops). Further hydrogen bonds mediate the characteristic L-shaped molecular structure. tRNAs have two regions of fundamental functional importance: the anti-codon, which is responsible for specific mRNA codon recognition, and the 3' end, to which the tRNAs corresponding amino acid is attached (by aminoacyl-tRNA synthetases). tRNAs cope with the degeneracy of the genetic code in two manners: having more than one tRNA (with a specific anti-codon) for a particular amino acid; and 'wobble' base-pairing, i.e. permitting non-standard base-pairing at the 3rd anti-codon position.
Source: Rfam by way of RNAcentral